GAACCGUGGUGAGGACAAUCCCUCUGAUAACCCUUAAAUCGCUCCCACGAAGCCUUGAAUGCUUCGGUUGGACCCUGAACGAAUGAAGAGAUCUAGGCUCUCAAUUC
Small nucleolar RNA from Arabis alpina (gray rockcress), 107 nucleotides. It matches the Rfam family "Plant small nucleolar RNA R71". From Rfam's summary of the family: R71 is a member of the C/D box family of snoRNAs containing the C (UGAUGA) and D (CUGA) box motifs. Multiple nearly identical copies of this snoRNA have been identified in Arabidopsis, and it is thought to function as a 2'-O-ribose methylation guide for 18S ribosomal RNA. The record is from Rfam. Lineage: Eukaryota; Viridiplantae; Streptophyta; Magnoliopsida; Brassicales; Brassicaceae.